This 58-nucleotide transfer RNA is filed under the name Salmo salar (Atlantic salmon). It matches the Rfam family "tRNA", at positions 8 to 63 of the family's 71-position model. From Rfam's summary of the family: Transfer RNA (tRNA) molecules are approximately 80 nucleotides in length. Their secondary structure includes four short double-helical elements and three loops (D, anti-codon, and T loops). Lineage: Eukaryota; Metazoa; Chordata; Actinopteri; Salmoniformes; Salmonidae. The record is from Rfam by way of RNAcentral.
UAGCUCAGUCAGUAGAGCAUGAGACUCUUACUCUCAGCGUUGUGGGUUUGAGCCCCAC